UACUAAAAAUGUGUAAUUUUUACUUUCUAAAGGGAAAAGAUGUUUUUAUAAUUGAUCUCCACAUCCCUCCUACAUGGCUCCAGCCUUUGUCCUGUGACCCUUUGUGUAGUCUUCCAGUAAACUGUCAAAAGAAAGAUCUCCUGAUUUUCCCUCUCUGGACCCCAGGACAUUUUCUUCUCUGUAUUGAAUGUGUCAGUAGCAAAGACUGGUAUCACUGAGACUGCAUGAGCAGACCAAACUUUCAUUUGUCUGGGAUCCCAAGACCCUGUGUAAAGUGUGUUAAUGUGUGUUUAAAUACAAGUGUUUUUGAUAAUUAAAUAUGUCAUAUUAUAUGUCGUGACUUCUCCUCAUUUGUGAA
Long non-coding RNA from Megalobrama amblycephala (Wuchang bream), 358 nucleotides. RefSeq lists it as uncharacterized. The transcript has 3 exons. NCBI's taxonomy places the organism in Eukaryota, Metazoa, Chordata, Actinopteri, Cypriniformes, Xenocyprididae. The record is from RefSeq and is a predicted model, not a curated record.